UAUUUCCAAUGUUUCAUAAGUACAUAUAUGAAUCAAUAUGCAAUCAUCCGCAGGUAUUUACAAUAUAGAAGUUUACAAAAUCCUUCAGGAAAUGGUAAUUUUACAAUAUAGGUUGACAAAAUAUCACUCAACAAAGUUAGGAAACAGUACAAUCUAGCUCACACAAAGAUAACGUUUAAACUAUUGAAGUUAUUAUUCAUGUUGUCAUCGGCCCUCCUCCUGGAAACUAUGUAUCAUGUCAUGCUGAUUGUUAUUGGCAGCACCAAGUAGCCCACUAUGCAAUCAUACCUAGCAUAUUUACAAGACCAUCAGAUAUGUUAGAUAUAAAUAGAUAGAAGAGAAUUGUAACAAAUGUAAAAACUGAAUCAUGUGUUAUCCAAAAUUCUUAAAUCUUACACUGCUACAAACGAGAAUAGCAUAAUAUCUGCUACAUAUAAGUUUCAUGUAGAUCUGUAUGAAUUAGGACAACCAAGUUAUGUGUAAAACAUACAAUGUUAAGUACUUUGCAUAUCAUGCAAACAAGAAACAGAAAAACACUUGUCUGACAAUGGGGGACAAUACAUAAUACAAUGCACAAGAUUCAUUCAAUUAACAUAUGUGCAAUAAUACGUGACAAUGUAGUAACUUCAGCAAAAGAAGGCAUGUACCUGUACUUCAGCAAAAGAAGGCAUGUACCUGUAUGUUUACGAGAGAGAUACACAAACUUCAAUUGUUUUGUUUUGUAAAAUAGAGACCUGUACGUUUAGGAGAAGGAUAUGGAAUUGUUAAUCAAAUAAGAAAAUAUAGAUAACGGACACUAGAUGCAUGCAUCGAUGCUUUGAACUGGACACUUUCCCACAUUUUGAGAAUAUCCAUGGAAACCAAACACAACACUUGACCAGAUUUGCAGCCCGCUUCCUAAAGAAAAUUCUGUUAUUUUUUGAGAUUUUUUUUUGUUGCCGUGCACCUGAUGGGGAUUUCGAGCAACAUGAACACAAAUUGUGAAGGAAAACUUCAGCCCUAACACAUCCGCACGGCCGCGCAGAGCUGGUAAUUGAUGAACUAUGUGGCACAUCGGCCAGGCUAGAUCCAGCACCUUGCCGGAAGUGGGAAGUGGCUAUUGCGCGUCAGUAUACUGUAUGCAAGGCAGAUUUUGAGGAAAAAUACUAAUCAUUAUGGCCAAUAUAGAUUUUAUGCUAGACUUUUUGUUGACCUUCUAUUAGAGUGUUCUUUCUAAGCUAAGACAUGAAAAGGAAAAAAGAAGAAUACUACUACUCGAAACAAGUUGUGUACGUGCCCCAUAUUUUGUGUGAAGAAACUGGCGAUGGGACUAGCUCAAAAACAUGAAAGACUUGAUGUGUUUUGCAAGUUUGUCUGUGAACUUUAUUUGAUAAUUAUGUUGCCAUUGGUGGUUAAGGCACUAUGGAAUUUCGAGCAUGACUUCAUGCCUCCAGGCAUCUAGAAGUAACAUGCAUGUAGAAAUAUAACACGAAGUGCAGGUAUAAGCCAUCAAGUAAUAAAUUUAGCAUUUCCUUCAAAUUUUUAAGCAAUGGGAUGACUAUAGAACAAGAAAAGACAAGGUAUAUCAAAUCAAUAUUAAGAUUGAAUUACAAGGAAAAUUCCUCAAAAAAUUAUAGUUGCCAAGAUAGGGAGAAAUGAUGAGGAAUAAAAAAGUCAAAGAUUAUAGUAAAAGUAUAUGGUUGUAAAUGAAUUGCUAUGGAUCUCAAUGCCAUCAAUCUUUCAUUAUCGUUCCUAUAUAGUAAAAUAUCAUGUUCAAGAACAGUAUGCAGAUUCGUCAAAAUAGCCAAAAGUGCAUUUGUGUUUACAAACAAUGUUCGAACAUCACACCCCACUAUCUUCCACAAAUAUUACUUGGACAAAGUGGUCAGCUAAGUAGAUCCCAUGGAGAUAAAUUAAGAGUUGCCAGAAUUUGAUUGUUUAGUGGAAGGAUAAGAUAUCAUGGUACUCUUCUCCUUGGCAAAAAGGCAGAUAGCAUAGUCAGCUGCCCCACUGGCAAUUAACAUCCUUGCUGCUUGCAAAGAGUAGCAAGGAAACAACAGGAGCAUCUCAUGGCCGUUUACUUAUUACACUAGCAUCUUAAACUAACUAGCAGAUCUCAUAAAUUCUACAUUGCUGCUGCUCGCAAUGCUAGUCUAUCGUUGGCUGUAACUUGCAUGUCAGAAAAAAAAAGUGGCCACGUUUUGUGCAUCAUGGUUCAGUACAAGAAAAUGUGAGAGCCCUUGGAGAACUAUGCUAGAGCAGAGCAGUAAUCACUUGGAAAGGAAAGAAAAACAGAGCGAGAGGGUCGACCUCGUUCUGUGGGGAAUCAUGGUGGUCGGGGCGGACGAUCUCAUUGUCGAGCUCGAGCGUGGGUGCCAGUCGUCACCGUCCAAGGAACUGGAGAGGCG
RNAcentral lists this long non-coding RNA (2387 nucleotides) under Triticum aestivum (bread wheat). Its description in RNAcentral is "long non-coding RNA (TAES_LNC017008)". Lineage: Eukaryota; Viridiplantae; Streptophyta; Magnoliopsida; Poales; Poaceae. The record is from RNAcentral.